AUGGCAAAACUAAUGUGCUUAUGUUUCAUCAUCCUCACUAUUGCGGUAGCCGUGUCGGCUGACGAAUGUGAGGGUGACCGACGGGCCAUGAUCAAGGAGUGUGCUAAGUAUCAACAAUGGCCAGCAAACCCGAAGCUAGAUCCGUCGGACGCAUGCUGCGCCGUGUGGCAGAAGGCAAACAUCCCAUGCCUUUGCGCUGGUGUCACCAAGGAGAAAGAGAAGAUAUAUUGUAUGGAGAAGGUUGCCUACGUUGCCAAUUUCUGCAAGAAGCCGUUCCCACAUGGCUACAAGUGCGGAAGUUACACAUUCCCUCCUCUGGCGUAUUGA
This 327-nucleotide ribosomal RNA is filed under the name Triticum aestivum (bread wheat). Its description in RNAcentral is "partial small subunit ribosomal RNA". The record is from RNAcentral. Lineage: Eukaryota; Viridiplantae; Streptophyta; Magnoliopsida; Poales; Poaceae.